CGGCUGACGGCUCAGUAACACGUGGAUAAUCUGCCCUUAGGUGGAGGAUACCCUCGGGAAACUGAGAAUAAUACUCCAUAGAUCUAGGAUGCUGGAAUGCAUCUAGAUUGAAAAUUUCGGUGCCUAAGGAUGAGUCUGCGGACUAUCAGGUUGUAGUCAGGGUAAUGACCUGACUAGCCUACGACGGAUAUGGGUUGUGAGAGCAAUAACCCAGAGAUGAUAUCUGAGACACGAUAUCAGGCCCUACGGGGCGCAGCAGGCGCGAAAACUUCACACUGUGCGAAAGCACGAUGAGGGAAUCCCAAGUGCUUGCACGUAAGUGUAAGCUGUUUUUAUGUUUAAAAUGCCUAAAAAGUAAAGGCUGGGUAAAAACGGUGGCCACCCCCCCCGUUAAUCCCGGCACCUCGGGUGGUGGCCGUUAUUAUUGGGCCUAAAACGUCGGUAGCCGGUUUAAUAAAUGCCGGGGUAAAUCGUGUAGCCUAACUAUACAAAUUCCGGGUAGACUGUUAAACUUGAAACCGGGAGAAGCUAGAGGUACUCCUGGGGUAGAGGUGAUAUUCUGUAAUCCUAGGGGGACCACCAGUGGCGAAGGCGUCUAGCUAGAAAGGGUCUGACGGUGAGGGACAAAACCCUGGGGGCGCAAACCGGAUUAANAUCCCCCGGGUAGUCCAGGGUGGAAAACGCCGCCUUGCUUGAAUGUUAGGUUGGGCCCCCCAACCCCAUUUAGUGGUCGGAAAAGAAAUUUGUUUAACCAAACCCUGUCUUGGGAAAGUACCGGCCCCCAAA
RNAcentral lists this ribosomal RNA (786 nucleotides) under uncultured archaeon. RNAcentral's name for it is "bacterial SSU rRNA". It matches the Rfam family "Archaeal small subunit ribosomal RNA". The record is from RNAcentral.